This 405-nucleotide ribosomal RNA is filed under the name Triticum aestivum (bread wheat). RNAcentral describes it as "partial small subunit ribosomal RNA". Lineage: Eukaryota; Viridiplantae; Streptophyta; Magnoliopsida; Poales; Poaceae. The record is from RNAcentral.
AUGUUUGAACUUGAAAGAAAUAUUAUGUUCCCUCUGGUUUAUCGCCUUAUUGAGUUGGGGUUGCUUCUACCAGUGGCAACGGCAUCGGUUGAAAGGGCCUUCUCAGCAAUGGAGAUCAUCAAGACCGAUUUGCGCAGCAAGAUGUCCAGUGGUUGUCUUGAUGACUUAAUGGUGUGCUACAGAGAGAGAGAGAGAGAGAGAGAGAGAGAGAGAGAGAGAGAGAGAGAUUUAAAGGACUUGAUCUUGCUAAAAUUAAAAAAGAAUUUCAACAUGAAGGUAGAAGAAUGUCGUUGCCACGUUCUAUUUAAUGGGAGUAGAUACUUAUUAUGGGUAUGUAUUCUUUCUAAAUCUUCACUUGCAUACUGUUGUUUCCAUCAUUAUAUCCUAGUUGUUACUAAUUCAUGA